RNAcentral lists this ribosomal RNA (584 nucleotides) under uncultured bacterium. RNAcentral's name for it is "bacterial SSU rRNA". It matches the Rfam family "Bacterial small subunit ribosomal RNA", at positions 338 to 916 of the family's 1533-position model. The record is from RNAcentral.
CCUACGGGAGGCAGCAGUAGGGAAUCUUCCGCAAUGGGCGAAAGCCUGACGGAGCAACGCCGCGUGAGUGAUGAAGGCCUUCGGGUUGUAAAACUCUGUCUUCUGUGAAGAACCAUCCUGUGCAGAGAAAGCUCAGGACCUGACGGUAACAGAGGAGGAAGCCCCGGCUAACUACGUGCCAGCAGCCGCGGUAAUACGUAGGGGGCAAGCGUUGUCCGGAAUCACUGGGCGUAAAGCGCGCGCAGGCGGUCUUUCACGUCCGGGGUGAAAGCCCAGAGCUCAACUCUGGGAUUGCCUUGGAUACGGGGAGACUUGAGGAUCGGAGAGGCAAGGGGAAUUCCACGUGUAGCGGUGAAAUGCGUAGAGAUGUGGAGGAACACCUGUGGCGAAGGCGCCUUGCUGGCCGAUUUCUGACGCUGAGGCGCGAAAGCGUGGGGAGCGAAACAGGAUUAGAUACCCUGGUAGUCCACGCCGUAAACGAUGAGUGCUAGGUGUUAGGGGCCCACCCGUUAGUGCCGAGCGUAACGCAUUAAGCACUCCGCCUGGGGAGUACGGUCGCAGACUGAACUCGAAGGAAUUGACGG